RNAcentral lists this ribosomal RNA (1297 nucleotides) under Vibrio sp. RNAcentral describes it as "bacterial SSU rRNA". It matches the Rfam family "Bacterial small subunit ribosomal RNA", at positions 100 to 1393 of the family's 1533-position model. Lineage: Bacteria; Pseudomonadati; Pseudomonadota; Gammaproteobacteria; Vibrionales; Vibrionaceae. The record is from RNAcentral.
GGACGGGUGAGUAAUGCCUAGGAAAUUGCCCUGAUGUGGGGGAUAACCAUUGGAAACGAUGGCUAAUACCGCAUAAUGCCUACGGGCCAAAGAGGGGGACCUUCGGGCCUCUCGCGUCAGGAUAUGCCUAGGUGGGAUUAGCUAGUUGGUGAGGUAAUGGCUCACCAAGGCGACGAUCCCUAGCUGGUCUGAGAGGAUGAUCAGCCACACUGGAACUGAGACACGGUCCAGACUCCUACGGGAGGCAGCAGUGGGGAAUAUUGCACAAUGGGCGCAAGCCUGAUGCAGCCAUGCCGCGUGUGUGAAGAAGGCCUUCGGGUUGUAAAGCACUUUCAGUCGUGAGGAAGGUGGUGUAGUUAAUAGCUGUAUUAUUUGACGUUAGCGACAGAAGAAGCACCGGCUAACUCCGUGCCAGCAGCCGCGGUAAUACGGAGGGUGCGAGCGUUAAUCGGAAUUACUGGGCGUAAAGCGCAUGCAGGUGGUUUGUUAAGUCAGAUGUGAAAGCCCGGGGCUCAACCUCGGAAUAGCAUUUGAAACUGGCAGACUAGAGUACUGUAGAGGGGGGUAGAAUUUCAGGUGUAGCGGUGAAAUGCGUAGAGAUCUGAAGGAAUACCGGUGGCGAAGGCGGCCCCCUGGACAGAUACUGACACUCAGAUGCGAAAGCGUGGGGAGCAAACAGGAUUAGAUACCCUGGUAGUCCACGCCGUAAACGAUGUCUACUUGGAGGUUGUGGCCUUGAGCCGUGGCUUUCGGAGCUAACGCGUUAAGUAGACCGCCUGGGGAGUACGGUCGCAAGAUUAAAACUCAAAUGAAUUGACGGGGGCCCGCACAAGCGGUGGAGCAUGUGGUUUAAUUCGAUGCAACGCGAAGAACCUUACCUACUCUUGACAUCCAGAGAACUUUCCAGAGAUGGAUUGGUGCCUUCGGGAACUCUGAGACAGGUGCUGCAUGGCUGUCGUCAGCUCGUGUUGUGAAAUGUUGGGUUAAGUCCCGCAACGAGCGCAACCCUUAUCCUUGUUUGCCAGCGAGUAAUGUCGGGAACUCCAGGGAGACUGCCGGUGAUAAACCGGAGGAAGGUGGGGACGACGUCAAGUCAUCAUGGCCCUUACGAGUAGGGCUACACACGUGCUACAAUGGCGCAUACAGAGGGCAGCAAGCUAGCGAUAGUGAGCGAAUCCCAAAAAGUGCGUCGUAGUCCGGAUUGGAGUCUGCAACUCGACUCCAUGAAGUCGGAAUCGCUAGUAAUCGUGGAUCAGAAUGCCACGGUGAAUACGUUCCCGGGCCUUGUACACACCGC